GAGUUUGAUCAUGGCUCAGGAUGAACGCUAGCGGCAGGCCUAAUACAUGCAAGUCGAACGAGAUUCGGGGCUUCGGCUCCGAUGAAAGUGGCGCACGGGUGCGUAACGCGUAUGCAAUCUACCUUACUCAGGGGGAUAGCCCGGAGAAAUCCGGAUUAACACCGCAUAACAUGAAUUUGUGGCAUCACAGAUUCAUCAAAUAUUUAUAGGAGUAAGAUGAGCAUGCGUGACAUUAGCUGGUUGGUGAGGUAACGGCUCACCAAGGCGACGAUGUCUAGGGGAUCUGAGAGGAUGACCCCCCACACUGGUACUGAGACACGGACCAGACUCCUACGGGAGGCAGCAGUAAGGAAUAUUGGUCAAUGGGCGCAAGCCUGAACCAGCCAUGCCGCGUGCAGGAAGACGGCCCUAUGGGUUGUAAACUGCUUUUAUACGGGAAUAAACCUCCUUACGUGUAGGGAGCUGAAUGUACUGUAAGAAUAAGGAUCGGCUAACUCCGUGCCAGCAGCCGCGGUAAUACGGAGGAUCCAAGCGUUAUCCGGAUUUAUUGGGUUUAAAGGGUGCGUAGGCGGCUUAUUAAGUCAGGGGUGAAAGACGGUGGCUCACCAUCGCAGUGCCUUUGAUACUGAUGAGCUUGAAUUUCCUGAGGUAGGCGGAAUGUGACAAGUAGCGGUGAAAUGCAUAGAUAUGUCACAGACACCAAUUGCGAAGGCAGCUUCUAAAGUAAUAUUGACGCUGAGCCACGAAAGCGUGGGGAUCAACCAGGAUUAGAUACCCUGGUAGUCCACCCCUUAAACGAUGAACACUCGAUGUUGGCGAUAUACAGUCAGCGUCUAAGCGAAAGCGUUAAGUGUUCCACCUGGGGAGUACGCCCGCAAGGGUGAAACUCAAAGGAAUUGACGGGGGCCCGCACAAGCGGAGGAGCAUGUGGUUUAAUUCGAUGAUACGCGAGGAACNUUACCCGGGCUUGAAAGUUACUGAAGAAUCCAGAGAUGGGUUCGUCNUUCGGGACAGGAAACUAGGUGCUGCAUGGCUGUCGUCAGCUCGUGCCGUGAGGUGUUGGGUUAAGUCCCGCAACGAGCGCAACCCCUGUGAAUAGUUGCCAGCACAUAAUGGUGGGGACUCUAUUCAGACUGCCUGUGCAAACAGAGAGGAAGGCGGGGACGACGUCAAGUCAUCAUGGCCCUUACGUCCGGGGCUACACACGUGCUACAAUGGAUGGUACAGAGGGCCGCUACGCAGCAAUGCGAUGCCAAUCUCAAAAAGCCAUUCACAGUUCGGAUUGAGGUCUGCAACUCGACCUCAUGAAGUUGGAUUCGCUAGUAAUCGCGUAUCAGCAAUGACGCGGUGAAUACGUUCCCGGGCCUUGUACACACCGCCCGUCAAGCCAUGGAAGCUGGGGGUACCUGAAGUAUGUAACCGCAAGGAGCGUCCUAGGGUAAAACCGGUAACUGGGGCUAAGUCGUAACAAGGUAACC
This 1478-nucleotide ribosomal RNA is filed under the name uncultured bacterium. RNAcentral describes it as "bacterial SSU rRNA". It matches the Rfam family "Bacterial small subunit ribosomal RNA". The record is from RNAcentral.